RNAcentral lists this ribosomal RNA (220 nucleotides) under uncultured bacterium. RNAcentral's name for it is "partial 16S ribosomal RNA". It matches the Rfam family "Bacterial small subunit ribosomal RNA", at positions 243 to 472 of the family's 1533-position model. The record is from RNAcentral.
AGCUAGUUGGCGGGGUAAAGGCCCACCAAGGCGACGAUGGGUAGCUGGUCUGAGAGGAUGAUCAGCCACACUGGAACUGAGACACGGUCCAGACUCCUACGGGAGGCAGCAGUGGGGAAUUUUGCGCAAUGGGGGAAACCCUGACGCAGCAACGCCGCGUGAGUGAUGAAGGCCCUUGGGUCGUAAAGCUCUGUCAGAGGUCGGUGGUUAAUAACCCGCU